RNAcentral lists this unclassified non-coding RNA (3548 nucleotides) under Polistes canadensis. Its description in RNAcentral is "diuretic hormone receptor-like, transcript variant X1". Lineage: Eukaryota; Metazoa; Arthropoda; Insecta; Hymenoptera; Vespidae. The record is from RNAcentral.
UUUCCUCGAGAGUUUCGCGAGAACGCGCGAGGUUGAGAGAGGCAGGCAGUCGUACUCGCCGGCUUCUGGUGCAGACGAAAAUCCAUAUCGAGAACGUGGUGCAUUCUCCGAAUUUCGCGGUUUUCAUAUAUUCACGAAUGACUCCGCAGACUCCUAUUAUUAUUAUUAUUAUUCUUCCUUCUUCGCCACGUGCCCUGUCGUAUCUUCUUAUCAACGAAGGAUGCAACUACCCUUUCAGUUUUGCAGUAAACACCAACGCAAAGCAUCACGUAUGGACAACGUAAAUAACGAAGCGAGGGGAAAUAAAAGGAACGGCUGAUUUCCGCAGGGCAUAUCUGUGACAUUAUUAACUUUAGCUGUAACGAGAUAAGGAAUAUCAGAGAAAACGUAUAUAACUUUUUCUUUUGAGCCUUACCAACUUUAGCAAUUUUUAAUCCAUACAAACUACGAUGUAGUGGGACGUAUUCCGAUUCAAAGUUAAAGACAAGAAUAGAAUAUCUUACAUUUUAUUUUUCUGUUACGAGUAACCUCAUACGAAAUGAAAAGAGUCAUGGAAACGAUACGCGCAUAUUAGAUAAUAGAUCAAAGUAAAAAAUAUUUGACAACAAGUGGAAGAGAAACAGAAACAGAAAGAAUAUUUAUAGAAACGAUAUUCUAUUUGUGCAGUAACUACUAUAGCAUAUAUGGGACAAUUAAAAACUAGAAGGAAAGAGAAAGAUUAAAGUACUUACUAAAAGUUGUGAAAAAAGAAGAAAAAAUAUAAUUGGAGAAACAAAAAAAAAGAAUAAAUAGAAUUUUAUAUUAAAAGAGAGACUAUUCUCGCGCAAUCUGCCAAUUUAGAUCUUUUCGCAAUUAUCUCUCUCUGAUCGAUUAAAUCCCAAUAUUUUGUUAAGUUUAAAAGAAAAAUUCCGAAAUAACGAGAGAGAAAAAUAAAUAAGACAUGGCUAGCUGGCUGUCGUCGAACAGCGACGAAUCUAUGGAUCGUAAUUACGUGCGAAACGCUUUGAAGUACAUUACGGACUUCAAGGAGGACUUUAACAACGAGAAAGAAUUGAAGUGCCUCGCACGACAGCAUCAAGAGCUUUUGUUGGAACAACGAUACCAACGUCAAGCCAUCAAUGAUGGUGUUAAAGAAGGAAUAGUCACGGAGGGCCGUGAUGGCUGCGAAAUUAAUUGGGACUCUUUACUCUGUUGGCCUUACACCUCACCGGGAACUCUUGCCGUAUUACCUUGCUUCGAAGAACUUAAUGGCAUACGGUACGACAAUACACAGAACGCAAGUCGAUGGUGUUGGCAAAAUGGUACAUGGGAUAGUUAUACAAAUUAUUCUUCGUGUCAUAACAUUCAACCUUCAACCGUAGAAGCUGAUGUAGAAAUUACAACAAAAAUAUACUUCAUUGGUUAUGGCUUAUCUCUUUGUACACUAGCAGUAGCUGUCUCCAUAUUUCUAUAUUUUAAAGAACUGAGAUGUCUCAGGAACAAUAUUCAUAUAAAUUUAAUGUUAACGUACAUUCUGGCUGACCUUAUGUGGAUAUUAACUACCGCAAUGCAGGUUUCCAUGCAAACAGAUAUACCAACUUGUGUCAUGUUCUUCUCCCUUCUUCAUUAUUUUCAACUGACCAAUUUCUUCUGGAUGUUUGUCGAAGGAUUGUAUCUCUAUUUGUUAGUUGUAAGAACUUUUACGGGUGAUAAUAUUAAGUUGAGGAUGUGUCUUGUGAUCGGUUGGGGUGUUCCAAUUUUCAUCAUAGCCAUAUGGGGUAUUGCCAAAUCUUUGGUCACUCAAGAAAAUCAGAAUAUCGCACUUUGGAAACACUGUCCAUGGAUGACAUCACAUCCAUGCGAUUGGAUUUAUCAAGCAUCUGUCAUUACAGUUCUUGCUGUUAAUGUAAUUUUCUUAUUCUUGAUCAUGUGGGUACUAAUAACUAAAUUAUGGUCCGCGAACAAUGCAGAAACGCAACAAUACAGAAAAGCUAGCAAAGCUUUACUGGUGCUCAUACCACUUCUUGGAGUGACAUAUGUUCUGGUUCUCGCUGGACCAACGGAAGGUCAAGCGGCUAAUGCAUUUUCUUACACCCGUGCUGUGUUACUUUCUUCUCAGGGUUUGCUGGUGACGCUAUUCUAUUGUUUUCUCAAUACCGAGGUGCAAAGUGCACUGAGACAUCACUUUGCAACGUGGACAACGUCGCGUGAUCUUGGCAAUAGUCGAAGGUAUUACAAGAAUUGGUCUCCGCGCUCAAGAACAGAAAGCAUAAGGUACUUGAAGUCCGCGCCGAAGACGCGCACGUCUUAAAAUCGCUUUGCGGUGCUUCAAGACGUUGAAAGAACGCAGAAAUGACGAACGUGAGCGACUCUCCUCUUUUAAUUUUAUUUUGUAAGACGACCGAAAUGUAGAAAAUCGAGAGAAGCUGCGUUUCUUCAACGAUAAAUCUUAUCGAGAAAUAAUCAAGGCUAUACGGCCAACCUUCAAAUCCAUAUCGUAAAAGGGAAUCUACGGUAAGUGAAACAACAACCACAACGGUGAUAGGUCCAAAUUCAACAACAACCUUUCUGGACAAAUCUAAGAAACCCAUUUCAGAAGACUCAAAUGAAUAAAGUUUAACACAAAGCGAAUUUUGAUGGGAGAAGAAACUGUGGUAAGAUAAUUAAGCGUAAUGAACUCAUUGUAGAAAUAUCUUUUCAUAAAUGUCAUCGUGUUAUCAAUUAUGAUGUUAAUAUAUUGAUGAUGUACUUCUCGCGAUCUGUAUACAUUGUAUAUGUUAUUGAUUGCUUCAAAAUUUUCAACGCAUCUUUGUUCACUUAAAAAGUAUUCACGAUUUUUCUACCAGCCAAAAAUUAUGAUAUAUAAUUAAUAUUAAUAUGCAUUAAAUCGAUUAAAUACUACUAAUAAAUAUUAUAUUAUUAUUUUGUUAUAAGAUUAUAAGACUCCUUUAUUUUUCCACUUUUAUCGUUAGCAAUAAUAGAGUUUUUGUUUGUUUUUAAAUAUUUAAAAAUCUGUAAGCAAACUUGAAAGAUGAGAUUCAAAUGUCUAUACGAGUGUACGUAUUUAUGUAUAGAAAUUAAUUUUCAAUUAUAGGAAUCCAUAAAAUUCAUUUACAUAUAUUCCUUGGAUAUAUACACGUUCGCUGAUACAUAUAUAUAUUGGGUAAGUAAUCGUAUGUCAUUAUAAUAUUUUGUUUUAUUUUUUCAUGUAAAAUCAACCCCUAUCUAGUUGUACUACGAUUACUAACCCACCCUGUAUAAUAAUAUUCUACACAUACCUCCUGACUUACAGCAUGGUACGAUUAAAAUUAAUGUAUAUGUAUAGUAUUUUAUCUAUUAGUAUUUAAUUAUUGUAAAUGAAAUAUUGUAUGUGUACAUAAAAUAGUAUAAGAGCAUAUAAUAUUAAGUUAUGCAGUUGAGAUCUUCAUUUUGGAUUAUCUUCAUUUUCACAUUGUAAAAUUCAAUUAAAUAUUAAUUACAAACUAGACUGAAUAAUAUUAUUUUAAGGAAAUGUAAAACGCGGAAUAACUCUAUCAAAUAUAUUUGAAAAUGUUACUAAAAAAAACAAA